GUAUUCCAUUUCGCCCAUAAGGCAGACAAACAUCCAAUAUUUUAGACAAGAGUUUGUGUAUUUCGAGGACAGGUUUAAUCCUACCCUCAAAUCAAAGUGCACAGGUGUAAAUUGGACUAGGAGAGCGAGCACAUGCAGUCAAACUACCAGCAUCAACUCCCUGUAAUAAUUCAUUAAUGAUCCUUCCGCAGGUUCACCUACGGAAA
RNAcentral lists this unclassified non-coding RNA (206 nucleotides) under uncultured fungus. RNAcentral describes it as "sequence contains ITS1". The record is from RNAcentral. Lineage: Eukaryota; Fungi.